UAUAUUUAGACUUAUCUAAUAAAGUUGUGUUUAAUAUAGAAGAGAAAAAUAAUUUUAAGGUUAAAAAUUAAGUAUUGUUUAUAAAAAUUUAUUAAAAGAUAAUAGAGCAAAGUAUUGUGAAAGAAGGUUUAGGGGUUAUAAGUGAUGUGAUAGUAGAUAUUAAAGUUUGUACCUUGUGUAUCAGGGAUGAUCAAAAUUAAUUAAGUAUUUUAAAUAUCUCGAAAGAGAAACAGCUAGGUUAGUAUUUAAGUUCUCGUAUUAAAGAGAUUUAGAAUACUAUACUAAAGAUGAAAUGUCAGCCGAGUUCUUUAUAUCUAGUUCCUUGAGAUAAAAUUAAAUUUUGUUCUUAUUUUUAGGGAAAUAAGAGUUAAGAGUAGGAGGGUAGAGCUUCUUGUUCUAAUAAAGGGUAGGUUAUGAAUUAAUAAGGUUAAAAGUUUAUACUAGGCUUAAGAGUAGCCAUGUUUCUAAAGUGUUUAAACUAAUAAUAAUGGAUUAUAUAAUUUAAAUUAAUUCUAAUAAAAUAUCAAGGUAUUAUUUGAAUUUAGAUAAAAUAAGAGAAAAUGGUUGUAUUAGUAUAAUUUAUUGUGGUUUACAUAGGGUAAAAUAUUUAAUAAAUAUAAAGUAUUUAAGGUGUUAUAAAGGAACUCGGCAAAUAUAUUUCUUGCCUGUUUAUCAAAAACAUGUCCGUUUGAAGUUUUAAAAGGUCUAGCCUGCCCACUGAUAGUAAAUUAAAGGGCCGCGGUAUUCUGACCGUGCAAAGGUAGCAUAUCAUUAGUCUCUUAAUUGGAGGCUUGUAUGAAUGGUUGGACAAGGGAAUGACUGUCUCUAUAACAAGUUUGGAAUUUAACUUUUAAGUGAAAAGGCUUAAAUAAUUUAAGGGGACGAUAAGACCCUAUAAAGCUUUAUACUGAAAUUAAUUUAAGUUAAUUUAUAAUUUAUAAAGGUGUUAAUUAAAUAAGUAUUAAGUUGGGGCGACUAUAGUAUAAAUGUAUAUAACUGCUUAGUUUUACUACAUUAAUAUAUGAAUCAAAAUUAAAUGAUCCUCUUUAGGGAUUACAAGAUUAAGUUACUUUAGGGAUAACAGCGUUAUUCUUUUUGAGAGUUCUUAUCGAAAAAAGAGUUUGCGACCUCGAUGUUGAAUUAAAGUUUCUAUAUAGUGCAGCAGCUAUAAUAGAAGGUCUGUUCGACCUUUAAAUUUUUACGUGAUCUGAGUUCAGACCGGUGAGCCAGGUUGGUUUCUAUCUCUUAAAUAAAAAUAUACUGUUUUAGUACGAAAGGAUUAAAUAGUAGAAAUAAUUUUUUAUAAUGAAUGUUUAUAAUAAA
RNAcentral lists this ribosomal RNA (1323 nucleotides) under Umalia orientalis. Its description in RNAcentral is "16S ribosomal RNA". The stretch from base 621 to 1323 matches the Rfam family "Archaeal large subunit ribosomal RNA", at positions 1423 to 2859 of the family's 2987-position model. Lineage: Eukaryota; Metazoa; Arthropoda; Malacostraca; Decapoda; Raninidae. The record is from RNAcentral.